RNAcentral lists this ribosomal RNA (496 nucleotides) under uncultured bacterium. Its description in RNAcentral is "partial 16S ribosomal RNA". It matches the Rfam family "Bacterial small subunit ribosomal RNA", at positions 29 to 507 of the family's 1533-position model. The record is from RNAcentral.
AUGAACGCUGGCGGCGUGCCUAAUACAUGCAAGUCGAGCGAACGGACGAGAAGCUUGCUUCUCUGAUGUUAGCGGCGGACGGGUGAGUAACACGUGGAUAACCUACCUAUAAGACUGGGAUAACUUCGGGAAACCGGAGCUAAUACCGGAUGAUAUUUUGAACCGCAUGGUUCCAAAGUGAAAGACGGUCUUGCUGUCACUUAUAGAUGGAUCCGCGCUGCAUUAGCUAGUUGGUAAGGUAACGGCUUACCAAGGCAACGAUGCAUAGCCGACCUGAGAGGGUGAUCGGCCACACUGGAACUGAGACACGGUCCAGACUCCUACGGGAGGCAGCAGUAGGGAAUCUUCCGCAAAGGGCGAAAGCCUGACGGAGCAACGCCGCGUGAGUGAUGAAGGUCUUCGGAUCGUAAAACUCUGUUAUUAGGGAAGAACAUAUGUGUAAGUAACUGUGCACAUCUUGACGGUACCUAAUCAGAAAGCCACGGCUAACUACGUG